This 83-nucleotide transfer RNA is filed under the name Candidatus Falkowbacteria bacterium CG1_02_37_21. Its description in RNAcentral is "tRNA-Leu". It matches the Rfam family "tRNA". From Rfam's summary of the family: Transfer RNA (tRNA) molecules are approximately 80 nucleotides in length. Their secondary structure includes four short double-helical elements and three loops (D, anti-codon, and T loops). Lineage: Bacteria; Candidatus Falkowiibacteriota. RNAcentral also lists the same sequence under 2 other names. The record is from RNAcentral.
GCGCGAGUGCUGUAAUUUGGUAGCCAGGCCGGAUUGAGGUUCCGGUGCCGCAAGGCGUGGAGGUUCAAGUCCUCUCUCGCGCA